RNAcentral lists this long non-coding RNA (379 nucleotides) under Coffea arabica (coffee). Its description in RNAcentral is "long non-coding RNA (CARA_LNC003411)". Lineage: Eukaryota; Viridiplantae; Streptophyta; Magnoliopsida; Gentianales; Rubiaceae. The record is from RNAcentral.
AUAUAGUAUUGAAAUACUGCCAAUUUUGGUGCCGAUUCAAGUUCGUUUCGAUACCCAAUUGAAUUACUAAAUUUAGAGGUUCAAAUCUGGAAAAUUCUCAUCCAGUCUUGAAUUUCCCCAACUUCGGGCUACCGUAUCUCGGUACUCGAAACUCCGAUUCUUGAUCCGCUUGUUUUGUCAUACACUUCACUUGCAACACUAAUUGAGCUGAAAAUUUCAGAGGCCGGUUUGCAACGUACGAAUCGUGCCGAAUUUUCAAAGUUGGCCAAAAACCAACUUCAUUCUGCCUUGUAAACUGAAGCUGCGUCUUCAAGCCCAUUUUUGACCACUUUCCACUUCGAUUCAUGGAAAAGUGUCUUCUAGGAACUUAUAGUACUCU